This 92-nucleotide non-coding RNA is filed under the name pig gut metagenome. The record is from RNAcentral.
AAAGGGGAGUCGGCGCGCCGGCUGAGAGGGAAUACGUUCGAUUCCGACCCUGGAACCUGAUACGGAUCAUGCCGGCGUAGGGAUAGUGUGAU